UACGUAGGUGGCAAGCGUUAUCCGGAAUUAUUGGGCGUAAAGCGCGCGCAGGCGGUUUCUUAAGUCUGAUGUGACAGCCCACGGCUCAACCGUGGAGGGUCAUUGGAAACUGGGGAACUUGAGUACAGAAGAGGAGAGCGGAAUUCCACGUGUAGCGGUGAAAUGCGUAGAUAUGUGGAGGAACACCAGUGGCGAAGGCGACUUUCUGGUCUGUAACUGACGCUGAGGCGCGAAAGCGUGGGGAGCAAACAGG
This 253-nucleotide unclassified non-coding RNA is filed under the name uncultured Bacillaceae bacterium. RNAcentral's name for it is "contains 16S-23S intergenic spacer region". It matches the Rfam family "Bacterial small subunit ribosomal RNA", at positions 524 to 776 of the family's 1533-position model. The record is from RNAcentral. Lineage: Bacteria; Bacillati; Bacillota; Bacilli; Caryophanales; Bacillaceae.